RNAcentral lists this long non-coding RNA (878 nucleotides) under Vulpes vulpes (red fox). Its description in RNAcentral is "lncRNA (ENSVVUG00000030055.1)". The record is from RNAcentral. Lineage: Eukaryota; Metazoa; Chordata; Mammalia; Carnivora; Canidae.
AUGAGGACAGCAGGGGACCAGGCAGAUGGCCAAGACGACAGUGAGGAGAGCAGAGCCCACAGCCGGCUGCGGUGGACAGUCUGCCGCAGAGGGCAGGCAGACGCAGGGGUCAGCUCAGGGGUCAGCUCUGAGCCCCCGGGGUGCUCCCAGAGGCCUUCCUUCCGGAUUAGUGCCACUGUCCUUCAGGCUGAGCAAAAUGGAUCGUUUCAGUGUCACUCCCCAGUCAGUCAAUUCCCAUCAGGAUCUGGAGGUGCCGAGGAGGCGGGCCGUCAGCCGGGACUCACUUUGCAGCACAUAAUGCCCAGGUCCUGCGAGGAAGGAGUGGGAAGGAGCAGGAAAUUGGACUUAAGUCGCCUCCAGAUCAACACAGAGUUCAAUCCUGCACAUUUUAAGCAUUUAUGGCACCAGCAGUGACAAAAGAAAGGAAGAUGUAUUCUGAACAAGACCAAGAAAAACGAAGGGUGAAGGAGAAGAAGCAGUGCUCUUUCAUUGCAUGAUACAAGAGAAUAAGCACCACAUUGCUAAAACCUGCUGUAUCACAUGCACACACACAAAAUCUCCAUAUUAGGGCACAGACUUAAUAUUUCUGAAACCACAAAAGUUCUCAAUUUCGUAAACUAUAUCACAUAGGAAGAUGCUCGUAACAAUCAUGAGAAGAUGGAAUUGCAGAGGUUUUCAUGUUCUAAGAUUCUUCGAACUUUGUCAGAUUCCUGCAUAAAAGUUCUGUCUCCAGUGGCUUCUCAUUUAUUCAUUCAUUUAUGUUAUAAAUUAAUUACUGAUUGCAGUGUAUGUGUUAGCACUAUGCUAUAUACUAGAGAUUUGAUGCAGACAGAAUUCCCGCCUUUAAGGAACUUACAGAGUGGUCGAGGAGAUGUAUG